Non-coding RNA from Cavia porcellus (domestic guinea pig), 125 nucleotides. The record is from Rfam. NCBI's taxonomy places the organism in Eukaryota, Metazoa, Chordata, Mammalia, Rodentia, Caviidae.
GUCUACGGCCAUACCACCCUGAACAUGCCCGAUCUCAUCUAAUCUCGGGAGCUAAGCAGGGUCGGGCUUAGUUAGUAUUUGGAAGGGAGUCCUUUACCUUUCCUGACUAAUUUGUUUUGCAUCUU